Molecule: unclassified non-coding RNA, 253 nt
Filed under: uncultured Chitinophagales bacterium
Lineage: Bacteria; Pseudomonadati; Bacteroidota; Chitinophagia; Chitinophagales
Description: contains 16S-23S intergenic spacer region
Rfam family: Bacterial small subunit ribosomal RNA
Source: RNAcentral
UACGGAGGGUGCAAGCGUUGUCCGGAAUCAUUGGGUGUAAAGGGUGCGUAGGCGGACUGUCAAGUCAGAGGUGAAAGCCCGGGGCUCAACUCCGGAAUUGCCUUUGAUACUGAUAGUCUUGAAUAUAGUUGAGGUAGGCGGAAUGUAACGUGUAGCGGUGAAAUGCAUAGAUAUGUUACAGAACACCGAUUGCGAAGGCAGCUUACUAAGCUAUUAUUGACGCUGAUGCACGAAAGCGUGGGGAGCGAACAGG